CCUGCCCAGUGACACAGUUUCAACGGCCAUGGUAUCCUGACCGUGCGAAGGUAGCAUAAUCACUUGUCUCUUAAAUAGGGACUGGAAUGAAUGGCUAAACGAGGCCCUACCUGUCUCUCACAAAUAAUCAGUGAAAUUGGUAUUCUCGUGCAAAAGCGAGAAUAAUAAUAUAAGACGAGAAGACCCUGUGGAACUUAAAGUUAUAGCCAGUCAAGCACACAACAUUAAUCACCCUAAACCCCCUUAAACCUGGCUAAAACUUUAGGUUGGGGAGACCUUGGAGUAAAACAAAACCUCCAAAAAGAACCUAGUUCUUACUUAGAUCAACAACUCAAAGUGCUAACAGCAAAACGAUCCAAUUAUUGAUCAACGGAACAAGCUACCCCAGGGAUAACAGCGCAAUCUCAUUCUAGAGUCCCUAUCGACAAUGAGGUUUACGACCUCGAUGUUGGAUCAGGACAUCCUAAUGGUGCAGCAGCUAUUAAGGGUUCGUUUGUUCAACGAUUAAUAGUCCUACGUGAUCAGAGUUC
Molecule: ribosomal RNA, 530 nt
Filed under: Carettochelys insculpta (pitted-shelled turtle)
Lineage: Eukaryota; Metazoa; Chordata; Testudines; Carettochelyidae
Description: partial 16S ribosomal RNA
Rfam family: Bacterial large subunit ribosomal RNA
Source: RNAcentral